Molecule: non-coding RNA, 797 nt
Organism: Paramuricea clavata
Lineage: Eukaryota; Metazoa; Cnidaria; Anthozoa; Malacalcyonacea; Plexauridae
Source: the annotation of a GenBank genome assembly
CAGGGAGGUCGCGUAAUUUUGAAAACGGGUGUAAUUAAGAGUAUACAUUUCAUUUCAUAUGUGUUCUGAUGUUAUAUACAUUCCGUUUCAGCUUUACUAGAUCAAAAAUCCGCUGAUAAACAGGCGCAAAGCAGAGGUAAAUUCAUAUAUAUAUAUAUAUAUAGAGAGAGAGAGAGAGAGAGAGAGAGAGAGAGAGAGAGAGAGAGAGAGAGAGAGAGAGAGAGAGAGAGAGAGAGAGAGAGAGAGAGAGAGAGAGAGACAGAGAGAGAGAGAGAGAGAGAGAGAGAGAGAGAGAGAGAGAGAGAGAGAGAGAGAGAGAGAGAGAGAGAGAGAGAGAGAGAGAGAGAGAGAGAGAGAGAGAGAGAGAGAGAGAGAGAGGGAGAGAGAGAGAGAGAGAGAGAGAGAGAGAGAGAGAGAGAGAGAGAGAGAGAGAGAGAGAGAGAGAGAUGGCCCAAGAACUGUUCCUUGUGGCACACCUCCGUUUAAAGUUUGCCAAUUUGAUACACAGCGUUGUUUGCGUUCGAAAAGGAAACUUCUAAUCCAGUUUGUAAUUGUCGCUGGUUCCUUCAUUUCAUAUACUUGUACAGUAGGAUGUUGUAGCCUAUAAGAUCGAAAGCUUUCGAAAAAUCGAGCAGAAAAACACUUACAGCGGUUUUUGAUCUAUCAGUUUCAUAUAACAGGUGAUGAACGAAGCUUAAUAGGGCAUGAGUUGUCGAGGAGGUUUUUAAGGAGCCAAAUUGUCGACUAUCAAUCUUUUCCUUUAUAUACUCAAGUAGCCAAUCGGUAACAGACUGUUC